This 260-nucleotide ribosomal RNA is filed under the name uncultured archaeon. RNAcentral's name for it is "partial 16S ribosomal RNA". It matches the Rfam family "Archaeal small subunit ribosomal RNA", at positions 748 to 1009 of the family's 1478-position model. The record is from RNAcentral.
CAGCCGUAAACUAUGCUCGCUAGGUGUCAGGCAUGGCGCGACCGUGUCUGGUGCCGCAGGGAAGCCGUGAAGCGAGCCACCUGGGAAGUACGGCCGCAAGGCUGAAACUUAAGGAAUUGGCGGGGGAGCACAACAACGGGUGGAGCCUGCGGUUUAAUUGGACUCAACGCCGGACAACUCACCGGGGACGACAGCAAUAUGUAGGCCAGGCUGAAGACCUUGCCUGAAUCGCUGAGAGGAGGUGCAUGGCGUAGACGUCU